ACCGUGUUAAGUCUCUUGGACAACGUCAUAGAGGGUGAGAAUCCCGUCUUUGACACCGUUUUCAGUGGUUUGUGAUGCGGUCUCAAAGAGUCGAGUUGUUUGGGAAUGAAGCUCAAAAUGGGUUCGAGAAUUCCAUCUAAAGCUAAAUAUUGGCGAGAGACCGAUAGCGAACAAGUACCGUGAGGGAAAGAUGAAAAGCACUUUGGAAAGAGAGUUAAACAGUCCGU
This is a ribosomal RNA of 227 nucleotides. It matches the Rfam family "Eukaryotic large subunit ribosomal RNA", at positions 175 to 400 of the family's 3401-position model.